GUCGAGCGAACGGACGAGAAGCUUGCUUCUCUGAUGUUAGCGGCGGACGGGUGAGUAACACGUGGAUAACCUACCUAUAAGACUGGGAUAACUUCGGGAAACCGGAGCUAAUACCGGAUAAUAUUUUGAACCGCAUGGUUCAAAAGUGAAAGACGGUCUUGCUGUCACUUAUAGAUGGAUCCGCGCUGCAUUAGCUAGUUGGUAAGGUAACGGCUUACCAAGGCAACGAUGCAUAGCCGACCUGAGAGGGUGAUCGGCCACACUGGAACUGAGACACGGUCCAGACUCCUACGGGAGGCAGCAGUAGGGAAUCUUCCGCAAUGGGCGAAAGCCUGACGGAGCAACGCCGCGUGAGUGAUGAAGGUCUUCGGAUCGUAAAACUCUGUUAUUAGGGAAGAACAUAUGUGUAAGUAACUGUGCACAUCUUGACGGUACCUAAUCAGAAAGCCACGGCUAGCUACGUGCCAGCAGCCGCGGUAAUACGUAGGUGGCAAGCGUUAUCCGGAAUUAUUGGGCGUAAAGCGCGCGUAGGCGGUUUUUUAAGUCUGAUGUGAAAGCCCACGGCUCAACCGUGGAGGGUCAUUGGAAACUGGAAAACUUGAGUGCAGAAGAGGAAAGUGGAAUUCCAUGUGUAGCGGUGAAAUGCGCAGAGAUAUGGAGGAACACCAGUGGCGAA
Molecule: ribosomal RNA, 676 nt
Filed under: uncultured Staphylococcus sp.
Lineage: Bacteria; Bacillati; Bacillota; Bacilli; Caryophanales; Staphylococcaceae
Description: bacterial SSU rRNA
Rfam family: Bacterial small subunit ribosomal RNA
Source: RNAcentral